This 490-nucleotide ribosomal RNA is filed under the name uncultured bacterium. RNAcentral describes it as "bacterial SSU rRNA". It matches the Rfam family "Bacterial small subunit ribosomal RNA", at positions 15 to 518 of the family's 1533-position model. The record is from RNAcentral.
GAUCAUGGCUCAGGACGAACGCUGGCGGCGUGCCUAACACAUGCAAGUCGAACGGAGACAAAGAUUCGGUUUUGUCUUAGUGGCGAACGGGUGAGUAACGCGUGAACAACCUGACCUUGAGAGGGGGAUAACAACGAGAAAUCGUUGCUAAUACCGCAUAAGACCACAACGCCGCAUGGCGAAGGGGUCAAAGGAGCAAUCCGCUCAGGGAGGGGUUCGCGUCCCAUUAGGUAGUAGGCGGGGUAACGGCCCACCUAGCCGACGAUGGGUAGCCGAGCUGAGAGGCUGAUCGGCCACACUGGAACUGAGACACGGUCCAGACUCCUACGGGAGGCAGCAGUGGGGAAUAUUGGGCAAUGGGCGCAAGCCUGACCCAAGCAACGCCGCGUGAGGGAAGAAGGUUUUCGGAUUGUAAACCUCUGUCGCAGAUGACGAAGGAAGUGACGGUAAUCUGUGAGGAAGCCCCGGCUAACUACGUGCCAGCCGCUGC